GGCGCGGUGGCCGAGCGGUUAGGCAGGACUCUUCGCAAGGGUUCACACGCCGGUUCGAAUCCGGCCCGCGCCU
This 73-nucleotide transfer RNA is filed under the name Alphaproteobacteria bacterium. Its description in RNAcentral is "tRNA-OTHER". It matches the Rfam family "tRNA". Rfam says of the family: Transfer RNA (tRNA) molecules are approximately 80 nucleotides in length. Lineage: Bacteria; Pseudomonadati; Pseudomonadota; Alphaproteobacteria. The record is from RNAcentral.